RNAcentral lists this unclassified non-coding RNA (242 nucleotides) under plant metagenome. RNAcentral describes it as "partial contains small subunit ribosomal RNA and internal transcribed spacer 1". The stretch from base 1 to 46 matches the Rfam family "Eukaryotic small subunit ribosomal RNA", at positions 1786 to 1831 of the family's 1831-position model. The record is from RNAcentral.
AAGUCGUAACAAGGUUUCCGUAGGUGAACCUGCGGAAGGAUCAUUAAAGAGUUAGGGUCCUAGUGGCCCAACCUCCAACCCUCUGUUGUUAAAACUACCUUGUUCGUCUUUUGGCGGGUGACCGGUUCCGGUUCUCCGGAGCCGCGUUAACCUUCACUGGGGUUGGCGAGCGCCCGCCAGAGUCCAACCAAACUCUUGUAUUAAACCAGUCGUCUGAGUAUAAAAUUUUAAUUAAAUUAAAA